Molecule: unclassified non-coding RNA, 333 nt
Filed under: soil metagenome
Description: partial contains 5.8S ribosomal RNA, internal transcribed spacer 2, and large subunit ribosomal RNA
Rfam family: 5.8S ribosomal RNA (bases 1-120)
Source: RNAcentral
GAUGAAGAACGCAGCAAAAUGCGAUAAGUAAUGUGAAUUGCAGAAUUCAGUGAAUCAUCGAAUCUUUGAACGCACAUUGCGCCCGCCAGUAUUCUGGCGGACAUGCCUGUUCGAGCGUCAUUUCAACCCUCAAGCUCAGCUUGGUGUUGGGACUCGCGGUAACCCGCGUUCCCCAAAUCGAUUGGCGGUCACGUCGAGCUUCCAUAGCGUAGUAAUCAUACACCUCGUUACUGGUAAUCGUCGCGGCCACGCCGUAAAACCCCAACUUCUGAAUGUUGACCUCGGAUCAGGUAGGAAUACCCGCUGAACUUAAGCAUAUCAAUAAGCGGAGGA